Phrynosoma platyrhinos (Desert horned lizard) is the source of this 73-nucleotide non-coding RNA. The record is from the annotation of a GenBank genome assembly. Lineage: Eukaryota; Metazoa; Chordata; Lepidosauria; Squamata; Phrynosomatidae.
GCCAGCAUGGCAUAGUGGUUUGAGUAUUAGACCACGACUCUGGAGACCCUGGGUUUGAUUCCCUGCUCAGCCA